This 316-nucleotide unclassified non-coding RNA is filed under the name plant metagenome. Its description in RNAcentral is "partial contains 5.8S ribosomal RNA, internal transcribed spacer 2, and large subunit ribosomal RNA". The stretch from base 1 to 105 matches the Rfam family "5.8S ribosomal RNA", at positions 50 to 154 of the family's 154-position model. The record is from RNAcentral.
GAAAUGCGAUAACUAGUGUGAAUUGCAGAAUUCCGUGAAUCAUCGAGUCUUUGAACGCACAUUGCGCCCCCUGGUAUUCCGGGGGGCAUGCCUGUCCGAGCGUCAUUGCUGCCCAUCAAGCACGGCUUGUGUGUUGGGUCGUCGUCCCCUCUCCGGGGGGGGCGGGCCCCAAAGGCAGCGGCGGCACCGCGUCCGAUCCUCGAGCGUAUGGGGCUUUGUCACCCGCUCUGUAGGCCCGGCCGGCGCUUGCCGAACGCAAAUCAAUCUUUUUCCAGGUUGACCUCGGAUCAGGUAGGGAUACCCGCUGAACUUAAGC